Rosa rugosa (rugosa rose) is the source of this 1715-nucleotide long non-coding RNA. RefSeq lists it as uncharacterized. Lineage: Eukaryota; Viridiplantae; Streptophyta; Magnoliopsida; Rosales; Rosaceae. The record is from RefSeq and is a predicted model, not a curated record. The transcript is spliced from 6 exons.
UGACGGUGAAUCCCGCAGCAAAGCGCGGGCAAAAUUUCUAGUGAUGAUCCAUUUGAGCUACGUCUACGAGCAAGGUUUCGUCACAAAUCUACAAUCUCGAUGCGAAUCUCUGCCUUCUUCAUCUCUAUCAGAACGUGUGAGCACUCAAAUUGUUACACUGAUAUUGGAAAGCUUCUGAAGAUGAAGCUAGAUGAGGUUUCAGCUAGCACUCAAAUAGUUGCUCGUAUUCUGGUUAAGGUCUGCAUUUCAAUCAUGAAAAGCUCUCGACUUUUGAUUUAGAUUGUUGUUGAUUAAGUGGUGGAAUAAGAAAUGUGUUUAAAGUUUUGUGUAUGUUAAUGUGUAGGCACUGAUGGCAAUUCCCACUCUCGAUCCAGCCUUUGUCUCUUCCUAAUUCCAGAAAGAGUGGUAUUUUUCUUUUAUUCUCUACCGAUUUACAAUUUAGUUGUUUCCAUGAACAAUUAUAUUUGGUUGAAAGAACUGAAAAUUGUUCAAGGUGCUUCAGGGGUCGAAGUGGAACUUUAAGUUUGAAGCUUUGCUACCCCUAUUGGUACAUUACAUGCUUUGUAGUUUGUCAGGGGGAAAUGAAGUGAAUUAAAAAACAAUGUUCUUGCUGAGAUCACACUGAAUUUAAUUUGUGCUUAUUGGGUUUACAUGUUGAACUCGUUUUUCUUAUUAAGUUGCAGUAAAUUGUCAUUCUCCCAUGAGAGAUGAGAUCUGAUGCAAAAAAAAAAAAUAUAUAUAUUUGGUCUAUUGAGUUCACCAAAAGUUCGAGAGUUUUGAUAAACUAAUCCCCUCCUUUAUUUCUAUCUUCCCAUAUCGGCAAAUGGAGGAGCAAUUCAAGACAUUGAUUGUCCUAUCUCAUUAUUUGGAGGUGCUUUCUUUACUGGAUAAUUGGAUAUGUAGAUCCAUCAGCUAUGCAGUUCCUAAAACUCUAGUUCUUUACUGUAUUUACAUUACAAAUAGACCAUUCUCAGAGCUAAAAAAUCCUCUCCAUUGUCCGCCAUACUAAGCAAGCUCGAGACUCCACAACUCCCAAAAGGUGGAAAUCUUUCGAUUCUGCAGCUCUCAAGUACAGUUUAUCUCAUUCUCUGAUGUUGAGUACCUGGAAUCCGCCGUUUUCCGGUGGGCAAGGGUUAGAACUAGGCUGCAAAGGCUUGUUCUUUUUCUUAUACAUACUUCUUUCUCAUAUUUCCAUAGUUUAUUAGACAUUCAUUCUAAUAAUAACACUUUGUCAUAGGUUUGUUUGAGGAUGAGAAAGCACACAAAGUUAAUUCUUCAACAUUGGCUUGAAGCUAUUGAUCCACACCAGUAGUAUGGACACAAUUUACACAUGAACUACGAUUUAUGAUUUGAAAGUGAGAGCAGCCAGCCUUUCUUCUACUGACGGAUACCCAUCUGAAUUGUGGGAAGGCACUACUGGAAAUGCUAUUAUGUAUUUAUGUCCCCCUGCCAUCAUAUGUUGCAAAAGACUUGGGACUAUGUUCAAAAGCCGUGAUGGGUCCUGCUGGAAUCUGUUUGCUGUGUUUUUGAACAUUUGGUGGAACUAUGGGCUUAUUUGGGAAGAGAAAUUAUUGAAGAAUGUCACUGUGUUAUGUUGUGUACUGGUAGCUUCUUCUUUUUUUGAGGCAAGCGACAUUUUACUGAUCUUUGGCUGUAAUUAAAGAGUUGGUGAAUGAAAAGCAAUUGGAUAGGCAAGAAAUGGAUGACUUGCUGCA